CUUGAACGUCAUUCAUAAUUAUUUUGAUGGUCUAUAUAACAAAAUUAUUUUCAGAUCUGUAUCUAGUUAAAUUUUUUUAUAUGCUUCAGCAAGACUGUUCAGUAAAAUUUCUUUCCGUGUACCGAUCUUUGAAUCAAAGCAUUUAAACGCUUUAUUUUUUCUUUUUUCAUUUGUUUCUCAUAAAUUGAAUUUACAUGAUAGUCAAUACAAAAUUUAUGUUUAUAUUUAUUGAUGUUUGAUACUGUGUAUAAUACAUAUGCUAACAGGUAUUUAAAAAUUAUUGUAACAUUAAUUAAAAUCUUUACAGGAAAAAUGAUAUGAAUGUCUUGUUACAAAUGUGAGUUAAAUUAAAAUUCUGUGAUCUAAUUAUCAUGCCAUAAAACGGAACAUUUUUUCUGAUUUUUGCCUCAAUGUGCCAAGCCUCAAUUAAAUGACGUAUCCUAUUUUAUAUGUUUUCGAUAUGCAUUAAAUUACAUAAAGAAAAAAAAUAAUUUUUCAAGUGAAAGUUAGUCGUUAAGAAUCUUUUCUUCUUCAACGUCCAAUUGUACAUUUCGUAAUGCUAUUUAUCUUGAUAUUUUUCUGUACUCUUGUCAGACUUUCGCUCUCACGCUGGUAACGACGGAGUCUUGUUUUGUCGUAUAAAAAUUUAUGUAUUCAAGGGUUAAACAACUUUGCGCGCGAGGAUGACGCGACGGCAGAACUAAUGGAGACAACGAGACGACCGGUCGACUUUCUCCGUCUGCGGGCUCUCCGUGGGGCGGAAAAACACGGCGUCUGAAUUCACCGGGCGAACCGCGCGCGCGGGAAGAGGCCGCAACCCCCCGAGGGUCGAGAGCGAGCGAGCGAGCGAGGGAAAGUGAGGAGCGAACCUCGGCCCCCGCGGAGGGCAGCGGGAGAGAUCGGAGGCCCUGUAAUGAUCUUACGGCCAUGAUCUCAUGCUGAAUAAGCCUCUUUAGCCUAGUCACGCUUUUGAAUGCGAAGGCCUAAGAAAUGGUGCAUAAAGUUACCGAUUGUUGACGUUUUGAGUGCGGCACGAGCACCAUUGCAUUGGAAAUCGAUGUCUACCUGCAGUGAUUUUUUACCUGAGCGCGUGCCAUGUACCUGCCACGCGUGAGAGUUAGGUCCAAUCGAUUCGAUGGAGUGAGAAUAAUAGGGUAUCAAUACCUGUUGCUGAAAACGCUUUUUGUUACCUGUUUCAGUUGGCCUGUUAGCAAUACCGCAAGUAUUGAGACAUCUAUAAGUCACCAAUGACGUUCAUUUUGGUAUUUUAGCCGUAAUGACAGAUUAAACUUUACUUUUUGGUAUAUUUUAUAUAAUUAGAUAGACAUAAGAAGUUAUUUCAUUAUCAAUAAAUUUCCAUUUAUAAUUGGAAAGAUAAAAUGAAUUUAAAAAAAUUAAUUAAAUAAA
Solenopsis invicta (red fire ant) is the source of this 1407-nucleotide long non-coding RNA. RefSeq lists it as uncharacterized. The transcript is spliced from 2 exons. Lineage: Eukaryota; Metazoa; Arthropoda; Insecta; Hymenoptera; Formicidae. The record is from RefSeq and is a predicted model, not a curated record.